RNAcentral lists this ribosomal RNA (347 nucleotides) under uncultured Desulfocapsa sp. Its description in RNAcentral is "bacterial SSU rRNA". It matches the Rfam family "Bacterial small subunit ribosomal RNA", at positions 1034 to 1382 of the family's 1533-position model. The record is from RNAcentral. Lineage: Bacteria; Pseudomonadati; Thermodesulfobacteriota; Desulfobulbia; Desulfobulbales; Desulfocapsaceae.
ACAGGUGCUGCAUGGCUGUCGUCAGCUCGUGUCGUGAGGAUGUUGGUUAAGUCCCGCAACGAGCGCAACCCUUGUCUUAGUUGCCAUCAUUCAGUUGGGCACUCUAAAGAGACUGCCGGUGUCAAACCGGAGGAAGGUGGGGGAUGACGUCAAGUCCUCAUGGCCUUUAUGACCAGGGCUACACACGUACUACAAUGGCCGGUACAAAGGGCAGCCACUUAGCGAUAAGGAGCCAAUCCCGUAAAGCCGGUCUCAGUCCGGAUUGGAGUCUGCAACUCGACUCCAUGAAGUUGGAAUCGCUAGUAAUCGCAGAUCAGCACGCUGCGGUGAAUACGUUCCCGGGCCUU